RNAcentral lists this unclassified non-coding RNA (336 nucleotides) under soil metagenome. RNAcentral's name for it is "partial contains 5.8S ribosomal RNA, internal transcribed spacer 2, and large subunit ribosomal RNA". The stretch from base 1 to 120 matches the Rfam family "5.8S ribosomal RNA", at positions 35 to 154 of the family's 154-position model. The record is from RNAcentral.
GAUGAAGAACGUAGCGAAAUGCGAUAAGUAAUGUGAAUUGCAGAAUUCAGUGAAUCAUCGAAUCUUUGAACGCACAUUGCGCCCGCCAGUAUUCUGGCGGGCAUGCCUGUUCGAGCGUCAUUUCAACCAUCAAGCCCCCGGCUUGUGUUGGGGACCUGCGGCUGCCGCAGGCCCUGAAAACCAGUGGCGGGCUCGCUGUCACACCGAGCGUAGUAGAUUUUCACCUCGCUCAGGGCGUGCUGCGGGUUCCGGCCGUAAAAAGCCUUAUUUACCCAAGGUUGACCUCGGAUCAGGUAGGAAGACCCGCUGAACUUAAGCAUAUCAAUAAGCGGAGGA